Molecule: ribosomal RNA, 800 nt
Filed under: Heyndrickxia ginsengihumi
Lineage: Bacteria; Bacillati; Bacillota; Bacilli; Caryophanales; Bacillaceae
Description: bacterial SSU rRNA
Rfam family: Bacterial small subunit ribosomal RNA
Source: RNAcentral
UAUACAUGCAGUCGAGCGAACUGAUGAAGAGCUUGCUUUUGAUCAGUUAGCGGCGGACGGGUGAGUAACACGUGGGUAACCUGCCUGUAAGACUAGGAUAACUCCGGGAAACCGGGGCUAAUACUGGAUAACUUUUCUCUCCGCAUGGAGAGAGAUUGAAAGAUGGCUUCGGCUAUCACUUACAGAUGGACCCGCGGCGCAUUAGCUAGUUGGUGAGGUAACGGCUCACCAAGGCAACGAUGCGUAGCCGACCUGAGAGGGUGAUCGGCCACAUUGGGACUGAGACACGGCCCAAACUCCUACGGGAGGCAGCAGUAGGGAAUCUUCCGCAAUGGACGAAAGUCUGACGGAGCAACGCCGCGUGAGUGAAGAAGGUCUUCGGAUCGUAAAACUCUGUUGUUAGGGAAGAACAAGUAUCGUUCGAAUAGGGCGGUACCUUGACGGUACCUAACCAGAAAGCCACGGCUAACUACGUGCCAGCAGCCGCGGUAAUACGUAGGUGGCAAGCGUUGUCCGGAAUUAUUGGGCGUAAAGCGCGCGCAGGCGGUCUUUUAAGUCUGAUGUGAAAGCCCACGGCUCAACCGUGGAGGGUCAUUGGAAACUGGAAGACUUGAGUGCAGAAGAGGAGAGUGGAAUUCCACGUGUAGCGGUGAAAUGCGUAGAGAUGUGGAGGAACACCAGUGGCGAAGGCGACUCUCUGGUCUGUAACUGACGCUGAGGCGCGAAAGCGUGGGGAGCAAACAGGAUUAGAUACCCUGGUAGUCCACGCCGUAAACGAUGAGUGCUAAGUGUUAGAGGGU